Molecule: ribosomal RNA, 402 nt
Filed under: uncultured bacterium
Lineage: Bacteria
Description: bacterial SSU rRNA
Rfam family: Bacterial small subunit ribosomal RNA
Source: RNAcentral
UGGGGAAUAUUGCACAAUGGGCGAAAGCCUGAUGCAGCAACGCCGCGUGAGUAAUGAAGGCCUUCGGGUUGUAAAGCUCUGUCUUCUGGGACGAUAAUGACGGUACCAGAGGAGGAAGCCACGGCUAACUACGUGCCAGCAGCCGCGGUAAUACGUAGGUGGCAAGCGUUGUCCGGAUUUACUGGGCGUAAAGGAUGCGUAGGCGGAUACUUAAGUCAGAUGUGAAAAUCCCGGGCUUAACUUGGGAACUGCAUUUGAAACUGGGUAUCUAGAGUGCGGGAGAGGAAAGUGGAAUUCCUAGUGUAGCGGUGAAAUGCGUAGAGAUUAGGAAGAACACCAGUGGCGAAGGCGACUUUCUGGACCGUAACUGACGCUGAGGCAUGAAAGCGUGGGGAGCAAACA